GACGAACGCUGGCGGCGUGCUUAACACAUGCAAGUCGAACGGAAAGGCCCUGAUUUUGUGGGGUGCUCGAGUGGCGAACGGGUGAGUAACACGUGAGUAACCUGCCCCUGACUUUGGGAUAACUUCAGGAAACUGGGGCUCAUACCGGAUAGGAGCUCCUGCUGCAUGGUGGGGGAUGGAAAGUUUCGGCGGUUGGGGAUGGACUCGCGGCUUAUCAGCUUGUUGGUGGGGUAGUGGCUUACCAAGGCUGUGACGGGUAGCCCGCCUGAGAGGGUGACCGGCGACAUGGGGACUGAGGGACGGCGCAGACUCGUAUGGGAGGCAGCAGGGGGGAGUCUGACACAGCGGGGGGACGUCAGAUGCAGCAACGCCGCGUGCGGGAUGACGGCCUUCGGGGUGUAAACCGCUUUCGCCGGUGACGAGGCGUGAGUGACGGUAAUGGGUAAAGAAGCACCGGCUAACUACGUG
Molecule: ribosomal RNA, 468 nt
Filed under: uncultured bacterium
Lineage: Bacteria
Description: partial 16S ribosomal RNA
Rfam family: Bacterial small subunit ribosomal RNA
Source: RNAcentral